GACGAACGCUGGCGGCGUGCUUAACACAUGCAAGUCGAACGGAAAGGCCCUGCUUUUGUGGGGUGCUCGAGUGGCGAACGGGUGAGUAACACGUGAGUAACCUGCCCUUGACUUUGGGAUAACUUCAGGAAACUGGGGCUAAUACCGGAUAGGAGCUCCUGCUGCAUGGUGGGGGUUGGAAAGUUUCGGCGGUUGGGGAUGGACUCGCGGCUUAUCAGCUUGUUGGUGGGGUAGUGGCUUACCAAGGCUUUGACGGGUAGCCGGCCUGAGAGGGUGACCGGCCACAUUGGGACUGACAUACGGCCCAGACUCCUACGGGAGGCAGCAGUGGCGAAUAUUGCACAAUGGGCGGAAGCCUGAUGCAGCAACGCCGCGUGCGGGAUGACGGCCUUCGGGUUGUAAACCGCUUUCGCCUGUGACGAAGCGUGAGUGACGGUAAUGGGUAAAGAAGCACCGGCUAACUACGUG
This 468-nucleotide ribosomal RNA is filed under the name uncultured bacterium. Its description in RNAcentral is "partial 16S ribosomal RNA". It matches the Rfam family "Bacterial small subunit ribosomal RNA", at positions 28 to 507 of the family's 1533-position model. The record is from RNAcentral.